CAUUUUUCUCAUUCCUUCUCCCCACCCCUUUUAUCUCUUACUCUUUCUUUUUUCUCUCUUACAUCACUUUCUCCUUCCUGCUUACUCUCCAUUUAUACUCUUUCUUUCUCUCUGUUUCUCUUUCCACAACUCUAUCCACUCUCCCCUUUCCCUUUUACUCUUCCACUUUAUCUCCUACUCUCUCCUUUUAUUUCUUACUCUCUCCCUUUCCACCUUUCUUUCUUUAACCUGUCCUAUCACCUCCCCAAUUCCUCUCCUAUUAUUGUGUUCCGUUGUUCAACUUUAUCCUCUUCUUCUUCUCUCAUUCUCUUUCUCUCUCUCAUUUCAAUUUUCCUCUCAACGCCCUCAUUCUUAUUUCAUAUGAAACUAUGGCUUUAUCAUCUCCCUAUUCUUAUCUCCCUCUUACUCUUCAACUCCUCAUCACACUCUUUCUUUCUCUCACUUUCACUCCUACUCUCUAUCUCUCCCUAUUCUUCGCUUGCGCUCUUCCCGCCUCUAACGUUCAAUGUCAGACACGCAUACUCAAACACACACACACGCGCUUAUGGAAACGCACACACGUACACAUACAUAGGCUCACAACCACAAACUCUCUCUCUCUCUCUCUCACCGUGUCGCUGCAACUUCAGUUUCUACAUCGUUAUGUAGAGGAAUCGUUCAUAUGUGUAUGACUUAAACUGGAGUACUGGAGUUUUAAUUGAUAUAUCUAUCCAUCUAUCUGUCAAUCAAGUUACUCCAGUUAUCUUUCAGUCUACUCCUACAUCUCCCAAUCCCACUCUUUCCCACCUCUCUCUCUCUCUCUCUCUCUCUCUCUCUCUCUCUGUCGUUCUCUCUCUUUCUCUGCCUGUCUAUAUAUAUAUAUAUAUAUAUAUAUAUAUAUAAAUAUAUAUAUAUUUACAUACAUAAAAUCAAUUUACAUAUCUCUCAAUUAUGUAUAUAUAAUCUUCAAAAGUGUAACUCGGAUUUACUACUACUACUACUACUACUACUACUACUACUACUACUACUAGCAUUGUUAUUGCUAUAAUUGUUAUUGAUAUCAACAUCCCUAUUACUGUAGAAAUACAAAUGCGACUACAAUUACUAUAAAAAUUACAAAUCGGUA
This 1105-nucleotide long non-coding RNA is filed under the name Octopus vulgaris (common octopus). Lineage: Eukaryota; Metazoa; Mollusca; Cephalopoda; Octopoda; Octopodidae. The record is from RNAcentral.